CGCGUGAUACGUAGGGUGCGAGCGUGUCCGGAAUUAUUGGGCGUAAAGAGCUGUAGGCGGUCUAUUGCGUCGAAAGUGAAAACUCAGGGCUCAACCCUGAGCUGCUCUCGAUACGGGUAGACUUGAGGGAUGUAGGGGAGAACGGAAUUCUUGGUGGAGCGGUGGAAUGCGCAGAUAUCAGGAGGAACACCGGUGGCGAAGGCGGUUCUCUGGACAUUUCCUGACGCUGAGAAGCGAAAGCGUGGGUAGCAAACAGGCUUAGAUACCCUGGUAGUCCACGCCGUAAACGGUGGGUACUAGGUGUGGGGGACAUUCCACGUUCUCCGUGCCGCAGCUAACGCAUUAAGUACCCCGCCUGGGGAGUACGGCCGCAAGGCUAAAACUCAAAGGAAUUGACGGGGCCCCGCACAAGCGGCGGAGCAUGCGGAUUAAUUCGAUGCAACGCGAAGAACCUUACCUGGGUUUGACAUAUGCCGGAAAGGCCUAGAGAUAGGUCCCCCCUUGUGGUCGGUUUACAGGUGGUGCAUGGCUGUCGUCAGCUCGUGUCGUGAGAUGUUGGGUUAAGUCCCGCAACGAGCGCAACCCUCGUCCUAUGUUGCCAGCGGAUAAUGCCGGGGACUCGUAGGAUACUGCCGGGGUCAACUCGGAGGAAGGUGGGGAUGACGUCAAGUCUUCAUGCCCCUUAUGUCCAGGGCUUCACGCAUGCUACAAUGGCCGGUACAAAGGGCUGCAAACCCGCAAGGGUGAGCGAAUCCCAAAAAGCCGGUCUCAGUUCGGAUUGGGGUCUGCAACUCGACCCCAUGAAGUCGGAGUCGCUAGUAAUCGCAGAUCAGCAACGCUGCGGUGAAUACGUUCCCGGGGCUUGUACACACCGCCCGUCAAGUCAUGAAAGUCGGUAACACCCGAAGC
This 909-nucleotide ribosomal RNA is filed under the name uncultured bacterium. Its description in RNAcentral is "bacterial SSU rRNA". It matches the Rfam family "Bacterial small subunit ribosomal RNA", at positions 516 to 1427 of the family's 1533-position model. The record is from RNAcentral.